Molecule: ribosomal RNA, 465 nt
Filed under: uncultured bacterium
Lineage: Bacteria
Description: bacterial SSU rRNA
Rfam family: Bacterial small subunit ribosomal RNA
Source: RNAcentral
ACGAACGCUAGCGACGUGCCUAAGAAAUGCAAGUCGAGCGAGAUCUAGGCUUCGGCCAAAGGUCUAGCGGCGAACGGUCGCGUAACACGUAAGCAACCUGCCCUAAAGUUGGGGAUAGCCCUCCGAAAGGGGGAUUAAUACCGGAUGUGGACAAUUCUUCGCAUGUAGGAUUGUCUAAAGCAGCAAUGCGCUUUAGGAUGGGCUUGCGGCCUAUCAGCUAGUUGGUGUGGGUAAUGGCUCACCAAGGCGACGACGGGUAGCUGGUCUGAGAGGAUGGUCAGCCGGACUGGGACUGAGACACGGCCCAGACUCCUACGGGGGGCAGCAAUUAGGAAUCUUGCGCAAUGGGCGAAAGCCUGACGCAGCGACGUCGCGUGACUGAUGAAGUCUUUCGGGAUGUAAAGGUCUUUUCUGGGGGAAGAAGGAUGUGACGGUACCCCAGGAAUAAGCCCCGGCUAACUACGU